RNAcentral lists this unclassified non-coding RNA (1116 nucleotides) under Hevea brasiliensis (rubber tree). The record is from RNAcentral. Lineage: Eukaryota; Viridiplantae; Streptophyta; Magnoliopsida; Malpighiales; Euphorbiaceae.
CAAAACCAUUGGCUAGGCACAGAGAGGACGAUGCAUAUCUCUCCAUUGAUGUUGGUGGCGAUAGCUUUAUAUGCAAUUUUAGUUGGAUCAUCAAGACCCCUGGCCUACGCUCAGCUAUCUCCAACAUUUUAUGAUCAAAGCUGCCCAAACGUCUCCAACAUUAUUCGUGGAGUCAUCCAAGAAUCCUUGCAAUCUGAUUCCAGGAUUGGUGCCAGCCUCAUCAGGCUUCAUUUCCAUGACUGCUUUGUCAAUGGUUGCGAUGCAUCAAUUUUGUUGGACAAUACUGAUACUAUAGAGAGUGAGAAACAAGCUGCUGCAAAUAACAACUCAGCUAGAGGUUUUGAUGUUGUUGAUACAAUGAAGGCUAGAUUGGAGAGUGCUUGUCCUGGCAUUGUUUCUUGUGCUGAUAUUCUAACUGUUUCAGCUCAACAAUCUGUUGAUUUGGCAGGAGGGCCAACAUGGACAAAUCUACUUGGAAGAAGAGAUAGCUUAACAGCAAGCAGAAGUCAAGCUAAUCUUAGCAUUCCAGGUCCUUUCGAGACCCUUGACCAGCUCAAGUCCAAGUUCACCGCCGUAGGCCUCAACAACAAUACCGAUCUAGUUGCCCUAUCUGGUGCUCACACGUUUGGAAGAGCUCAAUGCAGAACAUUUAGCCCCCGUUUGUACAACUUCAAUAACACUAAUUCUCCAGACCCAACAUUGAACACAACAUAUCUGCAAACGCUUCAACAAAUAUGUCCACAAGGAGGAAAUGGGAGUGUAAUAACUAAUCUUGAUCUAACAACUCCUGAUACCUUUGAUAAUGAAUAUUUCUCCAAUCUUCUAGUUGGAGAAGGCCUUCUCCAGAGUGAUCAAGAACUAUUUAACACUACUGGGGCUGAUACUGUUGCUAUUGUUCAAAAUUUUAGUGCUAAUCAGACUGCUUUUUUUGAAAGCUUUGUGACGUCCAUGCUCAGAAUGGGAAAUCUCAGCGUUUUAACAGGAACUACUGGAGAGAUUAGAUUGAAUUGCAGCAAAGUUAAUGGAAAUUCAUCAGCUGGAGCAGAAACUCUUCUUGUUAGCUCCAUGUGAUUUAAGAAAAACGUUGUAUGCUAAAAUAAGCUGUCAUGAUUAGAC